This 229-nucleotide ribosomal RNA is filed under the name uncultured bacterium. RNAcentral's name for it is "partial 16S ribosomal RNA". It matches the Rfam family "Bacterial small subunit ribosomal RNA", at positions 103 to 334 of the family's 1533-position model. The record is from RNAcentral.
CGGGUGAGUAAUGUAUGGGGAUCUGCCUGAUGGCGGGGGAUAACUACUGGAAACGGUAGCUAAUACCGCAUAAUGUCUGCGGACCAAAGCGGGGGGACCUCCGGGCCUCGCGCCAUCAGAUGAACCCAUAUGGGAUUAGCUAGUAGGUAAGGUAACGGCUUACCUAGGCGACGAUCCCUAGCUGGUCUGAGAGGAUGAUCAGCCACACUGGGACUGAGACACGGCCCAG